Molecule: long non-coding RNA, 245 nt
Filed under: Homo sapiens (human)
Lineage: Eukaryota; Metazoa; Chordata; Mammalia; Primates; Hominidae
Description: HSALNT0203863
Source: RNAcentral
AAAAAAAAAUGCACUUGCUGAAUUAAACAUACAAUAGGGGCAGCUGGUCUGACUCAACUGUGUUGAUGAUCAGGUACUUGGCUAGGAUCAAGACUGGAUACUUUCGGCUUGGAUGAAAAACAGAAGAAGCUGUGACUACUCAGAGCCAGGGGGACAGCCAGACCAAAAAUUGUUGGGGAAAAAAGGAAGCUCAAAGGCCAAAAGAUAGAAGCCAAGUGUCAAAUCCAAGAACAAAAGGCAAGAAU